AGUCAGUAUGGUGUCAAAAAAGGCAUAAACUAAACACUUUGCAGCCCUUUCCUGCCCUUGAAUAUGAUGUCUUUGGUGUAGGAGCUGCAUAAGUAACAGUG
This is a small nucleolar RNA of Phyllostomus discolor (pale spear-nosed bat), 101 nucleotides long. RefSeq annotates it as small nucleolar RNA SNORA13. Lineage: Eukaryota; Metazoa; Chordata; Mammalia; Chiroptera; Phyllostomidae. The transcript has a single exon. The record is from RefSeq and is a predicted model, not a curated record.